This 1296-nucleotide ribosomal RNA is filed under the name Triticum aestivum (bread wheat). RNAcentral's name for it is "partial small subunit ribosomal RNA". Lineage: Eukaryota; Viridiplantae; Streptophyta; Magnoliopsida; Poales; Poaceae. The record is from RNAcentral.
AUGGCUAUGGUUUUAAGGUAUGUCGAUAAACAUGGGUAUGCGAUUGAGAGGUUCAUUGGGAUUAAGCAUGUUGGUGACACAAGGGCAGCUUCUCUAAAAGCAGCUUUGGAUGGUAUGUUUCUUAAACAUGGCUUGUCUAUGUCUAAAUUGAGAGGGCAGCGGUACGAUGGAGCUUCUAACAUGAGAGGACAAUUUCGUGGGUUGCAAAGGUUGAUACUAGAUGAAAAUCCUUAUGCAUUUUAUAUUCAUUGCUUUGCCCAUCAGUUGCAGUUAGUGGUUGUUGCUGUUGUCAAGUGUUGUUCCUCUGUAUUGGAUUUCUUUAACCACAUAACUUUGAUUGUCAACACCGUCAAUGCUUCUUGUAAGAGACAUGAUGAACUAGCCCAAGAACAACAUGAUAAUAUUGUGAGUCAAUUGGAGUCUGGGGAAAUUUUUUCAGGAAGAGGGAAAAACCAAGCAACCAACCUUGUAAGACCUGGAGAUACACGGUGGGGCUCACAUCAUAAAACUUUGUGUCGGUUUAUUGAGAUGUGGACAUCUGUUUUGCAUGUAUUAGAGAACAUUCAUGAUGAUGCAGAAAAUUUAACACAAAGGGGUCGUUCAAUACCCGCUCGGGGUCGUUCAAGGGGGCGUGGUGGUCAAAUGGUAACUUUCUAUCAACGCUUCAGAUAUGAAAUAUUCAAUGUUCUGCUUGACCAAAUAAUUACUGAGUUAAAUAACCGCUUUGCUGAAAGAUCUACUCAAUUGUUGAGAUGCAUUGCUUGUCUUGAUCCAAGGAACUCAUUUGCUAAUUUUGAUGAAGACAAACUUGUUCAACUUGCUCAGAUGUAUGCUAAUGACUUCUCCAUAUAUGAGAUUUCUUUUGUCCUUAGAAACCAACUUGAAAACUUCAUUGCUGAUGUGAGAGCUGAUCCAAGUUUUGUUAGUUGUAAUGACCUUGGUAGUCUUGCUGUGAAGAUGGUCCAAACUGAUAGACACAUAGUCUUUCCUUUGGUAUAUCGUCUUAUUGAGUUGGCAUUGAUUUUGCCUGUUGCAACCGCAUCAGUGGAAAGAGCUUUCUCAGCUAUGAGUAUUAUCAAGACUGAGUUGAGGAAUAAGAUGGGUGAUGAUUGGUUGAAUUAUUCCAUGGUGUGCAAUAUUGAGCGAGAAAUAUUUGCAAAGGUUGAUGAUGAUGCUAUUAUAUAUCGCUUUCAAGACUAUAGAUUUCGCAAAGGAACUUUACCUCGUCGUAGUAGUGUUGGCUCUUCUUCCACCGUUGAUCAAGUUAUGGAAGACACUGAUGAAGGAAACAAUUGA